AACGAACGCUGGCGGCAUGCCUAACACAUGCAAGUCGAACGAGACCUUCGGGUCUAGUGGCGCACGGGUGCGUAACGCGUGGGAACCUGCCCUUAGGUUCGGAAUAACUCCCCGAAAGGGGUGCUAAUACCGGAUAAUGUCUUCGGACCAAAGAUUUAUCGCCUUUGGAUGGGCCCGCGUUGGAUUAGCUAGUUGGUAGGGUAAAAGCCUACCAAGGCGACGAUCCAUAGCUGGUCUGAGAGGAUGAUCAGCCUCACUGGGACUGAGACACGGCCCAGACUCCUACGGGAGGCAGCAGUGGGGAAUAUUGGACAAUGGGCGAAAGCCUGAUCCAGCAAUGCCGCGUGAGUGAUGAAGGCCUUAGGGUUGUAAAGCUCUUUUACCCGGGAUGAUAAUGACAGUACCGGGAGAAUAAGCUCCGGCUAACUCCGUG
RNAcentral lists this ribosomal RNA (433 nucleotides) under uncultured bacterium. RNAcentral describes it as "partial 16S ribosomal RNA". It matches the Rfam family "Bacterial small subunit ribosomal RNA", at positions 29 to 507 of the family's 1533-position model. The record is from RNAcentral.